RNAcentral lists this unclassified non-coding RNA (393 nucleotides) under uncultured bacterium. RNAcentral's name for it is "contains 16S-23S intergenic spacer region". The record is from RNAcentral.
UCCAGCUCGUCGCUGGCAGUCCCCGCAGAGUGCUCGGCAUCCUUUCGGACCCGGUCGCAACAGCGAGCAAUGGUUGCGCUCGUUUUGGCACUUAAGCCAACACCUCACGGCACGAGCUGACGACAGCCAUGCAGCACCUGUGCAAGCUCUCGACUGGUUACGAGUCGUCCCCCUUUCAGGUUCCUACUUCUUGCAUGUCAAGCCUGGGUAAGGUUCUUCGCGUAGCAUCGAAUUGAACCACAUGUUCCACCGCUUGUGCUGGCCCCCGUCAAUUCCUUUGAGUUUUAAUCUUGCGACCGUACUCCCCAGGCGGGGCACUUAAUGCGUUAGCUGCGGCACCCAGGGGGUCAAUACCCCGGACACCUAGUGCCCAUCGUUUACAGCGUGGACUAC